RNAcentral lists this ribosomal RNA (2925 nucleotides) under Escherichia coli. RNAcentral's name for it is "partial 23S ribosomal RNA". It matches the Rfam family "Bacterial large subunit ribosomal RNA". The record is from RNAcentral. Lineage: Bacteria; Pseudomonadati; Pseudomonadota; Gammaproteobacteria; Enterobacterales; Enterobacteriaceae.
GGGUUGUGAGGUUAAGCGACUAAGCGUACACGGUGGAUGCCCUGGCAGUCAGAGGCGAUGAAGGACGUGCUAAUCUGCGAUAAGCGUCGGUAAGGUGAUAUGAACCGUUAUAACCGGCGAUUUCCGAAUGGGGAAACCCAGUGUGUUUCGACACACUAUCAUUAACUGAAUCCAUAGGUUAAUGAGGCGAACCGGGGGAACUGAAACAUCUAAGUACCCCGAGGAAAAGAAAUCAACCGAGAUUCCCCCAGUAGCGGCGAGCGAACGGGGAGCAGCCCAGAGCCUGAAUCAGUGUGUGUGUUAGUGGAAGCGUCUGGAAAGGCGCGCGAUACAGGGUGACAGCCCCGUACACAAAAAUGCACAUGCUGUGAGCUCGAUGAGUAGGGCGGGACACGUGGUAUCCUGUCUGAAUAUGGGGGGACCAUCCUCCAAGGCUAAAUACUCCUGACUGACCGAUAGUGAACCAGUACCGUGAGGGAAAGGCGAAAAGAACCCCGGCGAGGGGAGUGAAAAAGAACCUGAAACCGUGUACGUACAAGCAGUGGGAGCACGCUUCGGCGUGUGACUGCGUACCUUUUGUAUAAUGGGUCAGCGACUUAUAUUCUGUAGCAAGGUUAACCGAAUAGGGGAGCCGAAGGGAAACCGAGUCUUAACUGGGCGUUAAGUUGCAGGGUAUAGACCCGAAACCCGGUGAUCUAGCCAUGGGCAGGUUGAAGGUUGGGUAACACUAACUGGAGGACCGAACCGACUAAUGUUGAAAAAUUAGCGGAUGACUUGUGGCUGGGGGUGAAAGGCCAAUCAAACCGGGAGAUAGCUGGUUCUCCCCGAAAGCUAUUUAGGUAGCGCCUCGUGAAUUCAUCUCCGGGGGUAGAGCACUGUUUCGGCAAGGGGGUCAUCCCGACUUACCAACCCGAUGCAAACUGCGAAUACCGGAGAAUGUUAUCACGGGAGACACACGGCGGGUGCUAACGUCCGUCGUGAAGAGGGAAACAACCCAGACCGCCAGCUAAGGUCCCAAAGUCAUGGUUAAGUGGGAAACGAUGUGGGAAGGCCCAGACAGCCAGGAUGUUGGCUUAGAAGCAGCCAUCAUUUAAAGAAAGCGUAAUAGCUCACUGGUCGAGUCGGCCUGCGCGGAAGAUGUAACGGGGCUAAACCAUGCACCGAAGCUGCGGCAGCGACGCUGAUGCGUUGUUGGGUAGGGGAGCGUUCUGUAAGCCUGCGAAGGUGUGCUGUGAGGCAUGCUGGAGGUAUCAGAAGUGCGAAUGCUGACAUAAGUAACGAUAAAGCGGGUGAAAAGCCCGCUCGCCGGAAGACCAAGGGUUCCUGUCCAACGUUAAUCGGGGCAGGGUGAGUCGACCCCUAAGGCGAGGCCGAAAGGCGUAGUCGAUGGGAAACAGGUUAAUAUUCCUGUACUUGGUGUUACUGCGAAGGGGGGACGGAGAAGGCUAUGUUGGCCGGGCGACGGUUGUCCCGGUUUAAGCGUGUAGGCUGGUUUUCCAGGCAAAUCCGGAAAAUCAAGGCUGAGGCGUGAUGACGAGGCACUACGGUGCUGAAGCAACAAAUGCCCUGCUUCCAGGAAAAGCCUCUAAGCAUCAGGUAACAUCAAAUCGUACCCCAAACCGACACAGGUGGUCAGGUAGAGAAUACCAAGGCGCUUGAGAGAACUCGGGUGAAGGAACUAGGCAAAAUGGUGCCGUAACUUCGGGAGAAGGCACGCUGAUAUGUAGGUGAAGUCCCUCGCGGAUGGAGCUGAAAUCAGUCGAAGAUACCAGCUGGCUGCAACUGUUUAUUAAAAACACAGCACUGUGCAAACACGAAAGUGGACGUAUACGGUGUGACGCCUGCCCGGUGCCGGAAGGUUAAUUGAUGGGGUCAGCGCAAGCGAAGCUCUUGAUCGAAGCCCCGGUAAACGGCGGCCGUAACUAUAACGGUCCUAAGGUAGCGAAAUUCCUUGUCGGGUAAGUUCCGACCUGCACGAAUGGCGUAAUGAUGGCCAGGCUGUCUCCACCCGAGACUCAGUGAAAUUGAACUCGCUGUGAAGAUGCAGUGUACCCGCGGCAAGACGGAAAGACCCCGUGAACCUUUACUAUAGCUUGACACUGAACAUUGAGCCUUGAUGUGUAGGAUAGGUGGGAGGCUUUGAAGUGUGGACGCCAGUCUGCAUGGAGCCGACCUUGAAAUACCACCCUUUAAUGUUUGAUGUUCUAACGUUGACCCGUAAUCCGGGUUGCGGACAGUGUCUGGUGGGUAGUUUGACUGGGGCGGUCUCCUCCUAAAGAGUAACGGAGGAGCACGAAGGUUGGCUAAUCCUGGUCGGACAUCAGGAGGUUAGUGCAAUGGCAUAAGCCAGCUUGACUGCGAGCGUGACGGCGCGAGCAGGUGCGAAAGCAGGUCAUAGUGAUCCGGUGGUUCUGAAUGGAAGGGCCAUCGCUCAACGGAUAAAAGGUACUCCGGGGAUAACAGGCUGAUACCGCCCAAGAGUUCAUAUCGACGGCGGUGUUUGGCACCUCGAUGUCGGCUCAUCACAUCCUGGGGCUGAAGUAGGUCCCAAGGGUAUGGCUGUUCGCCAUUUAAAGUGGUACGCGAGCUGGGUUUAGAACGUCGUGAGACAGUUCGGUCCCUAUCUGCCGUGGGCGCUGGAGAACUGAGGGGGGCUGCUCCUAGUACGAGAGGACCGGAGUGGACGCAUCACUGGUGUUCGGGUUGUCAUGCCAAUGGCACUGCCCGGUAGCUAAAUGCGGAAGAGAUAAGUGCUGAAAGCAUCUAAGCACGAAACUUGCCCCGAGAUGAGUUCUCCCUGACCCUUUAAGGGUCCUGAAGGAACGUUGAAGACGACGACGUUGAUAGGCCGGGUGUGUAAGCGCAGCGAUGCGUUGAGCUAACCGGUACUAAUGAACCGUGAGGCUUAACCUUACAACGCCGAAG